This 492-nucleotide ribosomal RNA is filed under the name uncultured bacterium. RNAcentral describes it as "partial 16S ribosomal RNA". It matches the Rfam family "Bacterial small subunit ribosomal RNA", at positions 29 to 507 of the family's 1533-position model. The record is from RNAcentral.
AGUGAACGCUGGCGGUAGGCCUAACACAUGCAAGUCGAACGGCAGCACAGUAAGAGCUUGCUCUUACGGGUGGCGAGUGGCGGACGGGUGAGGAAUACAUCGGAAUCUACUUUUUCGUGGGGGAUAACGUAGGGAAACUUACGCUAAUACCGCAUACGACCUACGGGUGAAAGCAGGGGAUCUUCGGACCUUGCGCGAUUGAAUGAGCCGAUGUCGGAUUAGCUAGUUGGCGGGGUAAAGGCCCACCAAGGCGACGAUCCGUAGCUGGUCUGAGAGGAUGAUAGGCCACACUGGAACUGAGACACGGUCCAGACUCCUACGGGAGGCAGCAGUGGGGAAUAUUGGACAAUGGGCGCAAGCCUGAUCCAGCCAGACCGAGUGGGUGAAGAAGGCCUUCGGGUUGUAAAGCCCUUUUGUUGGGAAAGAAAAGCAGCAGGUUAAUACCCCGCUGUUCUGACGGUACCCAAAGAAUAAGCACCGGCUAACUUCGUG